This is a non-coding RNA of Phrynosoma platyrhinos (Desert horned lizard), 70 nucleotides long. NCBI's taxonomy places the organism in Eukaryota, Metazoa, Chordata, Lepidosauria, Squamata, Phrynosomatidae. The record is from the annotation of a GenBank genome assembly.
GCCAGAGUGGUGUAAUGGUUUGAGCACUGGACUAUGACUCCAGAGACCAGGGUUCGAAUCCUAGCUCGCA